UUGUAAGCCAUAAAUGAAAGCCAUUUUCUAAGGGUAU
This 37-nucleotide transfer RNA is filed under the name Loxodonta africana (African savanna elephant). RNAcentral's name for it is "partial tRNA-Thr". The record is from RNAcentral. RNAcentral also lists the same sequence under 1 other name. Lineage: Eukaryota; Metazoa; Chordata; Mammalia; Proboscidea; Elephantidae.